RNAcentral lists this ribosomal RNA (328 nucleotides) under uncultured eukaryote. Its description in RNAcentral is "partial 18S ribosomal RNA". It matches the Rfam family "Eukaryotic small subunit ribosomal RNA", at positions 1470 to 1796 of the family's 1831-position model. The record is from RNAcentral.
CCCUUAGAUGUCCUGGGCCGCACGCGCGUUACACUGAUGCAUUCAACGAGCUUAUAACCUUGGCCGAGAGGCCUGGGCAAUCUUGUUAACGUGCAUCGUGAUAGGGAUAGAUUAUUGAAAUUAUUAAUCUUGAACGAGGAAUUCCUAGUAAACGCAGAUCAUCAAUCUGCAUUGAUUACGUCCCUGCCCUUUGUACACACCGCCCGUCGCACCUACCGAUUGGAUGGUCCGGUGAAGCCUCGGGAUUGUGGUUCUUGCCGCUUGAUUGUGGCGUGACCGCGAGAACUUGUCUAAACCUUAUCAUCUAGAGGAAGGUGAAGUCGUAACA